GGCGGGUUGGCGCAAUGGUUAGCGUGCCAGUUUCCGGUUCUAGGAUCUUGCUGGUGGUUGUGGGUUCGAGUCCCAUACUCGUCG
Peniophora sp. CONT is the source of this 84-nucleotide non-coding RNA. The record is from Rfam. Lineage: Eukaryota; Fungi; Basidiomycota; Agaricomycetes; Russulales; Peniophoraceae.